This 528-nucleotide ribosomal RNA is filed under the name fungal sp. TA313. Its description in RNAcentral is "eukaryotic LSU rRNA". The stretch from base 160 to 313 matches the Rfam family "5.8S ribosomal RNA". Lineage: Eukaryota; Fungi. The record is from RNAcentral.
UACCUACAACUGUUGCUUCGGCGGGUAGGCCGUCCCCUGAAAAGGACGCCUCCCGGCCCGGACCGGACCCCCCGUGGGGCCGGACUCGGCGCCCGCCGGAGGAUAACCAAACGCUAUUUUAACGACGUUUCUUCUGAGUGGCAUAAGCAAAAUAAUCAAAACUUUUAACAACGGAUCUCUUGGUUCUGGCAUCGAUGAAGAACGCAGCGAAAUGCGAUAAGUAAUGUGAAUUGCAGAAUUCAGUGAAUCAUCGAAUCUUUGAACGCACAUUGCGCCCGCCAGCAUUCUGGCGGGCAUGCCUGUUCGAGCGUCAUUUCAACCCUCAAGCUCUGCUUGGUGUUGGGGCUCUACGGUCGACGUAGGCCCUCAAAGGUAGUGGCGGACCCUCCCGGAGCCUCCUUUGCGUAGUAACAUUUCGUCUCGCACUGGGAUCCGGAGGGACUCUUGCCGUAAAACCCCCCAAUUUUUCAAGGUUGACCUCGGAUCAGGUAGGAAUACCCGCUGAACUUAAGCAUAUCAAUAAGCGGA